GGCUUUGCCAAGUCAAGGUACAUGAAGUAAAUGAUAAUGAGAGAAAGCUGCUGAAUAACUUGACAGUUAUUGAGAAUUUCUCUGAAUAAAUUACACGAACACUUUUACCUGUUAACACCCUUUUGGCAUUAAAGUCUUUAUUUAAAAUAGUUCCUCCUCUGUAAUGAAUUUGACUUGUGAUGAUGACUGCUAUCUCCUGUCCUUGCAUUUCAGCCUUCCUCUGAAGUGGCAAUAGCCACUUACGAGGUCCUGAUCAGUCUGACACCCAAGGCAGUGAUGAGGAAUAAGGAACACAGACUUCCCCCAUCAGCAGCAAAAGCAGUCAGUCACUGCUUCUCUGGUGAGAAGAGCUUCUCACUACACAGCAACAAAAGGUGUCAAAGAGGAAAAGACAGAUAAACCCAUCCCCAGGGACUGCUGGAGUGAAAGAAGCAGGACCACAGGGUUUCUACAGUCAUUAGCAUUCUUGCCAGUUGAUGAGAAAGCAUUUCAUAUCCAAACCCGUAUGGUCAGCAGAAGACAAGCAUUAACUUAUUGCCUGUUUGAUUUUCAUCUUUCAUUUUAAUGUGCUGAAUUAUUAAUGUCAUCCUAGUCACUAGCUAAACUUUUUAUUUUUUAAAUUUCUAUGUAAUGUUAAACCAUUACAUAAUCUAAAAGCAUUCAGGGCUCUGAUGCCA
RNAcentral lists this long non-coding RNA (677 nucleotides) under Cyanistes caeruleus (blue tit). RNAcentral's name for it is "lncRNA (ENSCCEG00000019671.1)". The record is from RNAcentral. Lineage: Eukaryota; Metazoa; Chordata; Aves; Passeriformes; Paridae.